UAAAUCAUUCUCUGUUAGCAGUAGCUUAACUGCUCACAAGCGUAUUCAUACAGGUGAGAAACCAUAUACCUGUACUAUCUGUGGAAGAUCAUUCUCUGUUCACAGCAGCUUAACUAAACACAAGCGUAUUCAUACAGGGGACAAACCAUACCCCUGUGAUAUCUGUGGUAAAACGUUCUCUGGAAACAGUCACUUAACUAUACACAAAUGUAUUCAUACUCAAGAAAAAUAAAUUCACAGUGAUAUCUGUGGCAUAUCAUUUACACAAAAUCAUUUCUGAUUUAAACAGAAGUCUUUCCUUAUGCAGUGGGUCCAUAACACUGAUAUUUGUUGUAUAACAUUUCCUCAGAAGGACAAAGGACGUAUCUCAUAAAGACAUCCACAGAAUAUAGAAACUAUAUGAAUGUGACAUUUAUGGUAAAUCUUUGACAUGAAAUCAUCCAUUAUUGAAUCAAAAGAGCAUUGACAGAGGAAGGAAAACAUAUCACUCUGAUGUUAAACCUGAAUCAUUCUUUCAAAAUGGUGAAUUAAUUAUACACAGUCCUGUUAAUAUGAAGAAUAUGCCAUACCCUAAGAUAUCUGUUAAUGAUCAAUUAUAACAUAAAUGAAUUCAAAUAGAAGAGGAACCAAAUCACUACGAUGAUGAUCAUUUAACAUUCACUUUUACAUUCUUCUAUGGAUCAGAUUGAAUUCAUUGAUACCUUCCCUGUUUCCAAGCAAGGAGAUAUUUUCCCUGGUGAGACAUAUUUUACACAGAAGACUGGAAAUGAACAACUACACAAGUAUGACGGUCAUGAUGGCCAUUUAUGAACACCACAUAAUAUCUGGACAAGGGUGCACACACACACACACACACUUAUGUAUGUCUGAAGAUUUUCUUAUAGGAAAUAUCUUAUAUGUUUUCUACACAUCUAAUAGUUUGUAAUUCCUAUUAGGAAAUGAAACACAUGUAAUGCUGAAUAAAUAAUAUCAAACUUUUCUCCACUGUC
Long non-coding RNA from Octopus sinensis (East Asian common octopus), 989 nucleotides. RefSeq lists it as uncharacterized. The record is from RefSeq and is a predicted model, not a curated record. NCBI's taxonomy places the organism in Eukaryota, Metazoa, Mollusca, Cephalopoda, Octopoda, Octopodidae. The transcript is spliced from 2 exons.